RNA transcript from Mercenaria mercenaria, 3388 nucleotides. RefSeq lists it as uncharacterized. The transcript is spliced from 6 exons. Lineage: Eukaryota; Metazoa; Mollusca; Bivalvia; Venerida; Veneridae. The record is from RefSeq and is a predicted model, not a curated record.
GAUCAUAAGCCUUGGUUUACCUGUGAGAGAUGUUUACAGAAAAGUAUGGGCACUGGAACAUGGAGAGGGAGAGCCAAUGCAGAUUAUCUAUCAUAUGAGAGGACUGUUGGGGGAUGCUACAGAGGACAUGGUUAACUCCCUUGAUACAGACACACGGGAAGAUGGACAAAGAGGAAGUGUACAGAAUGGCCAAUGUGCUCGCUACAUGUGGUGGUCUUAAGGUGAUGCUGGACAGGAAAAAGAAAAGAAAUGAGCUCAGGAAAGACAAGAUACAGCAGGUACAAGUUCUUAAGACAUUCAUGGAAACAUCAGAGUUCAGCAGCUUCUUGAAACAGAUUGAAAGACUGGAGAACAAUUGAUAUAAAGACAGUGGAUGGCACUGACUACAUGUUUGAGAGCAUGUGAUCUGAUAAUGACUACAGGCCCAGAGUUGGAGCCAAGACACAGUUAGGCAUAGUCAUGGAGCCGUUGCCAUCGGUGUUACUGUACACAAAACUUGGUAGGCUGAUUGAUUAAGUCAGCCUAGACAUGGGCACAUGUGGACAGACUGGAAGUUCUUGUGUAUGAACCACUCAUGAGGAGUGUACAUUUUGCCAUACAAGUUUGAACCACUCAUGAGGAGUGUACAUUAUGCCAUACAAGUUUGAACCACUCACGAGGAGUGUACAUUAUGCCAUACAAGUUUGAACCACUCACGAGGAGGGUACAUUAUGCCAUACAAGUUUGAACCACUCACGAGGAGUGUACAUUAUGCCAUACAAGUUUGAACCACUCACGAGGAGUGUACAUUUUGCCAUACAAGUUUGAACCACUCACGAGGAGUGUACAUUUUGCCAUACAAGUUUGAACCACUCACGAGGAGUGUACAUUAUGCCAUACAAGUUUGAACCACUCACGAGGAGUGUACAUUAUGCCAUACAAGUUUGAACCACUCACGAGGAGUGUACAUUUUGCCAUACAAGUUUGAACCACUCACGAGGAGUGUACAUUAUGCCAUACAAGUUUGAACCACUCAUGAGGAGUGUACAUUUUGCCAUACAAGGAAGAUAAGGAAGCAGAGAAGGACCAGGAACCACAACUGCUGCAAUGGGAAACCCUUGUAACUGGUACAUGUAUAUACUCUGGUUACAGAUUUGCAGUAUCAGCCAGCAUCCACAGACAUUCUAAAUAUAGGACCAACACAAUCAGACAAGUUGGCAAGAUGUUAUUACGUUCAAGAGUGGUGACAUUCUGCCCAAGAUUCUAGUCUGGAGAUACCAUCAGCCGAUCUUAGAAUCUUUUUUAAGAUUUAAGUUUAAAAAUGUGACAUUGACUUAAGACUACAUUUAUACUGCUUUCAGUCAAAGGCUUUUCUUUGUUGUUUUUUUUUUAUCAAUAUAUCAAGAUCUGGAAAAUAGCUGUAUUGGAGACAAGUUUGUAUGACAAAAUGAAAUAAAGAUUUUUAUGUUAAAAAUAUUUUUUUUAUAUAUAUUAAAUACUUAUGAAGUGACUUUAUCAUGACUUUAAGAUAUGCAAGAUUACAGUGGUUGCUUUUUUAAAUGUUUUCAGGAAGUGCAAAAAACUUCCUUAUUUGACAAGAAACAGCUUUUUCAACCGUAACAUAUGUUAAAACACAUUAGAUGGACUUUUACAAAGAAAAUUGUUAAUUAUGUCAAGAGUUAUAUAGAUCCUAGCUAUAUGACUUAUUUUUACUUUCAACUGUAUUGCAUGACUUUUGUAAGUUUGAGCAGUUGAGUUAUUAACCGCAAAAAUAUUGUAAGUGACUUCCUAGUUUUUGGCAAGCUGAUCUAUUCCAUCUGUAUUCUUGAAGUUUACUGCUUAAGAGUAAUAAUUAAAACUGGAAAUGAUGCUUUUCUAACUUUUACUUUUGAAAAUUUUGAGCAAUUUUUUUCGUAAACUGAAGAAUCUGGAAACUACAUGAUACAUUAUUUAUUAUUACAUAAUUCCUUUUAUUAUAUACCUGUAUAAAUUCUGUCAAACUUACAGCUUGUAUUUUACAAUUAAAUAUGAACAGGCAGAAAUUAUUCCUUAUUGUCCUUUUUGUAUUGCAUGUUGCUGGACGACGUUCAUUUAAUAUGCAUGACCUGACACAUUUCUAUAGAUAGCGCACAUAGAAACUAUACUCUGUUCUUUUUUAACAUAGAUAAACUGUUAAAACAUUGAGGAUUUUGUUCGAUAACAAAACAACAAACAGAAAGGUGGAGGUAUAUAAUAAAACUUAAAGGGUCAUUGUAACUGUAGCUAGAUCUGGAAUUUGUAUUCGGCUCUCAUGGAUUCUUCCAAGUUUGAUGGUACUUAGUGCUUGUGUGCACCUCGUGUUAUUCGACUCGGCAAAAUUCCCUCGAGCCGAAUACCACAUCCAAGUUCAAGCUACUGUUUUAAUAACCCUAUUGUAUAAAUUGCUGGUCCAUAGUUUGUGCUGUUGGCCAGUCUAUAUAUAGUUCAACACUAAAGUUUGCUUGGCUAAAGUCAAAAUUAGUUGUAUAAUACCAGUAUGAAUGGUUCAUAAUCACACAUGUUUUUACUGAUAAAUAAGUCAAACAUUUAAAAAUGGAAGUGUGAAAAUUAAUUUCUUAUGCUGUAUAAUAAAGCACUUAUUGAAUGACUUGCCAAUCAAUAGUCAAAACUUUUGGACUAUUGACUAGCAAGUAAUUCAUUGAGUAUGUACCAUUGACCUUUGGUCCUCUGGCAAUAGUUUGGACUAUUGACUAGCAAGUAAUUCAGUGGGUAUGUACCAUUGACCUUUGGUCCUCAGACAAUAGUUUGGACUAUUGACUAGCAAGUAAUUCAAUGGGUAUGUACCAUAGACCUUUGGACAUCAGACAAUAGUUUGGACUGUUGUCUAGCAAGUAAUUCAGUGGGUAUGUACCAUUGACCUUUGGUCCUCUGGCAAUAGUUUGGACUAUUGACUAGCAAGUAAUUCAAUGGGUAUGUACCAUUGACCUUUGGUCCUCUGGCAAUAGUUUGGACUAUUGACUAGCAAGUAAUUCAGUAGCAAGUAAUUCAUUGAGUAUGUACCAUUGACCUUUGGUCCUCAGACAAUAGUUUGGACUAUUGACUAGCAAGUAAUUCAUUGGGUAUGUACCAUUGACCUUUGGUCCUCUGGCAAUAGUUUGGACUAUUGACUAGCAAGUAAUUCAUUGGGUAUGUACCAUUGACCUUUUGUCCUCAGACAAUAGUUUGGACUAUUGACUAGCAAGUAAUUCAAUGGGUAUGUACCAUAGACCUUUGGACAUCAGACAAUAGUUUGGACUAUUGUCUAGCAAGUAAUUCAGUGGGUAUGUACCAUUGACCUUUGGUCCUCUGGCAAUAGUUUGGACUAUUGACUAGCAAGUAAUUCAAUGGGUAUGUACCAUUGACCUUUGGUCCUCAUGCAAUAGUUUUGACU